RNAcentral lists this ribosomal RNA (386 nucleotides) under uncultured soil bacterium. Its description in RNAcentral is "bacterial SSU rRNA". It matches the Rfam family "Bacterial small subunit ribosomal RNA", at positions 26 to 418 of the family's 1533-position model. The record is from RNAcentral.
AGAUUGAACGCUAGCGGAAUGCUUUACACAUGCAAGUCGAACGGCAGCGCGGACUUCGGUCUGGCGGCGAGUGGCGAACGGGUGAGUAAUAUAUCGGAACGUGCCCAGUAGCGGGGGAUAACUACGCGAAAGCGUGGCUAAUACCGCAUACGCCCUACGGGGGAAAGGGGGGGAUCGCAAGACCUCUCACUAUUGGAGCGGCCGAUAUCAGAUUAGCUAGUUGGUGAGGUAAAGGCUCACCAAGGCGACGAUCUGUAGCUGGUUUGAGAGGACGACCAGCCACACUGGGACUGAGACACGGCCCAGACUCCUACGGGAGCAGCAGUGGGAAUUUGGACAAUGGGGGAAACCUGAUCCAGCCAUCCCGCGUGUGCGAUGAAGGCCUU